This 384-nucleotide transfer-messenger RNA is filed under the name Thermoflexia bacterium. It matches the Rfam family "transfer-messenger RNA". Rfam says of the family: Bacterial tmRNA, also known as 10Sa RNA or SsrA, is named for its dual tRNA and mRNA-like properties. Its role is to liberate the mRNA from a stalled ribosome. The record is from RNAcentral. Lineage: Bacteria; Bacillati; Chloroflexota; Thermoflexia.
GGGGAUGAACGGGUUUCGACGGGGAAGGCUGGUCACGGACGGCGAGCCGGGGCGCUCUGACCCCGUGAACAACGGAGCAAACCCAAAGUGCCAACACCUGGGCUGCUGUUCCCGUCGCCGCGUAAUGCGGCAGGGAUCGAUCUGGUCGCCUGAGCGAGCGGCUACGUCCGCCCCAUCCCCUCACCGACGGGCUGGGGGCCGGGCGUGACAAAGUCGGUGUGCGGCGGCCCGACGCCGAUACGGUCGCCUAAGGCUCAUCGGCUCGGCCCGGGUGCAGCGCGGUCGGCAGCGACUCCCCGGGCGACAGCGAAAGAGCCGACUACGCUCGUAGAAGUUCGUGGCCGAAUUCUCCGGACGCGGGUUCAACUCCCGCCAUCUCCACCU